This 122-nucleotide ribosomal RNA is filed under the name Oryctolagus cuniculus (rabbit). Lineage: Eukaryota; Metazoa; Chordata; Mammalia; Lagomorpha; Leporidae. The record is from RNAcentral.
GCCUAUGGCCAUACCACCCUGAAUGCGCCCAGUCUCGUCUGUUCUCGGCAACUGAGCAGGGUCGGGCCUGGUUAGUACUUGGAUGGGAGAGAGGACUUCCUGGGGGAAGUGGCUUGUGAGCU